AUUGAACGCUGGCGGCAUGCUUUACACAUGCAAGUCGAACGGCAGCGAGGAGAAGCUUGCUUCUCUGUCGGCGAGUGGCGAACGGGUGAGUAUAGCAUCGGAACGUGCCAAGUAGUGGGGGAUAACCAAACGAAAGUUUGGCUAAUACCGCGUAAGCUCUAAGGAGGAAAGUAGGGGACCUAAAUAAGGCCUUACGCUAUUUGAUCGGCCGAUGUCGGAUUAGCUAGUUGGUGGGGUAAUGGCUCACCAAGGCAAUGAUCCGUAGCGGGUCUGAGAGGACGAUCCGCCACACUGGGACUGAGACACGGCCCAGACUCCUACGGGAGGCAGCAGUGGGGAAUUUUGGACAAUGGGGGAAACCCUGAUCCAGCCAUGCCGCGUGUAUGAAGAAGGCCUUAGGGUUGUAAAGAACUUUUGUUAGGGAAGAAAAGCUAGUUUUUAAUAAAAAUUAGUGAUGACGGUACCUAAAGAAUAAGCACCGGCUAACUACGUG
RNAcentral lists this ribosomal RNA (493 nucleotides) under uncultured bacterium. RNAcentral describes it as "partial 16S ribosomal RNA". It matches the Rfam family "Bacterial small subunit ribosomal RNA", at positions 30 to 507 of the family's 1533-position model. The record is from RNAcentral.